This 671-nucleotide unclassified non-coding RNA is filed under the name Hevea brasiliensis (rubber tree). Lineage: Eukaryota; Viridiplantae; Streptophyta; Magnoliopsida; Malpighiales; Euphorbiaceae. The record is from RNAcentral.
GGUUCAGAUUCUUCUCUCUGCGAAAACUCUCUCCUUUAGCCACCUUAUCUCUCUAUCUAUCUUGGGGUCUGUCUCUCAUGCUUUCCUCUUGAAAAACCAAGUGCUGGGUUUUCUUUAAGGGGCCUAUAGAGAGAUAGAGAGAUAGGAAGGAGAAACAUGGAGGCUGUGCUACAGACCAAAGGGCUUCUUUCCCUGCCACCAAAUCCCAAAAUCAGAGCUUCUUUGUAUCCCUCACAGGGCUUAAAGCGCAGGCUUUUUGCUGCUAAACCUAAAACCCUUUCUGGGCUUUCUUUAUCUUCAAAUGGUUUUCCUAGAUUUCCCAGCGUUGUGUCGAAACCAAAUGGGUUUCCCACAAAAGACGGAAAUUUGCAUAUUUGCAGGGCAGAGGCUGUGGCUGCUGCUGAUGGGCAACCUUUAUUUGGCGAAGCUGAGAAGCCUAAGCUCUUGGGUAUUGAGCUUUCGACUCUUAAGAAAAUUAUCCCACUGGGAUUGAUGUUCUUUUGUAUUCUUUUUAAUUACACAAUCCUCAGAGGCACAUGGUCGUGACGGCUAAAGGGAGUAGUGCAGAGAUUAUACCAUUUCUGAAAACUUGGGUGAAUUUGCCUAUGGCUAUUGGAUUUAUGUUGUUGUACACACAAUUGGCUAACGUUUUGUCUAAGCAGGCUCUCUUU